RNAcentral lists this ribosomal RNA (975 nucleotides) under uncultured bacterium. Its description in RNAcentral is "bacterial SSU rRNA". It matches the Rfam family "Bacterial small subunit ribosomal RNA", at positions 8 to 987 of the family's 1533-position model. The record is from RNAcentral.
AGAGUUUGAUCAUGGCUCAGGACGAACGCUUGCGGUGUGCCUAAUGCAUGCAAGUCGAACGAAGCUUUUCCCUUCGGGGAAUUCGCUUAGUGGCAGACGGCUGAGUAACGCGUAAGUAACUUGCCUUAGAGAGGGGAAUAACUCAGGGAAACCUGAGCUAAUACCGCGUAAUCUCCGCAUCUGAGAUGCUGCGGAGGAAAGGUGUCGGGUGACCGAUGACCGCUCUUAGAGAGGCUUGCGUCCUAUCAGGUAGUUGGUGUGGUAAUGGCUCAUCAAGCCUAAGACGGGUAGCUGAUGUGCGAGCAUGGACAGCCAGAGGAGGACUGAGACACGGCCUCCACUCCUACGGGAGGCAGCAGCAAGGAAUUUUCCACAAUGGGCGAAAGCCUGAUGGAGCGACACCGCGUGAGGGAUGACGGUUUUCGGAUUGUAAACCUCUUUUAUUGGGGAAGACGUGGACGGUACCCAAGGAAUAAGUCACGGCUAACUACGUGCCAGCAGCCGCGGUAAUACGUAGGUGGCGAGCGUUGUCCGGAAUAACUGGGCGUAAAGGGUCCGUAGGCGGUACGGCAAGUCUCCUGUGAAAUCUUCGGGCUUAACCCGGAGCGGUCGGGAGAAACUGUUGAACUAGAGGCUAGCAGAGGCGAGCGGAAUUCCCGGUGUAGUGGUGAAAUGCGUAGAUAUCGGGAGGAAUGCCAGUGGCGAAAGCGGCUCGCUGGGCUAGAACUUACGCUGAUGGACGAAAGCGUGGGUAGCGAACCGGAUUAGAUACCCAGGUAGUCCACGCCGUAAACGAUGGAUGCUAGGUCUUCGGGGUAUAGAUUCCCUGUGGGCCGUAGCUAACGCGUUAAGCAUCCCGCCUGAGGACUACGGCCGCAAGGCUAAAACUCAAAGGAAUUGACGGGUCCCCGCACAAGCAGCGGAGCGUGUGGUUUAAUUCGAUGCAAAGCGAAGAACCUUACCUGGGCUUGACAU